GGAAAGGGCAUUAAGCAGAUGUUUAAGGAGCUGUUUUAUAAAUUUCAUAGGUAUUUCCAAUGUUUUUACAAAUAUUUUAGGGGAAAAGGAUUGGCAAGCCAUUGACAUCAUACUAGAGUGGAACACAUCACCUCUUGGUAGUUCCUGCUGGUAUCAGCUCUUUGUUCAAAACAAACUUCCAUAAAGAAACAAAAAAAAUAAACUUGAGACAAGAAGUUGCUUUUUUUUCAGCUGCAGCCUGAAGAACCCUUCUGCCAAAAUCACCUGUAAAUGAGAAUAAAUCUAAUGCAUCAUAAAAAAUGAUGCCAGAACAACGUAGUUAAGCAUUUCCAUCAGCUGCCACUGCUUCAGCUUUGUUUUGAUCAAGAAGUGGUUGUGGUCUUUCAUGGAAAAAUCCCACUGACAGAUGGUGGGACCUCUUUAUUGAUGUAUUAACUCGUGGUGAAUUUAGAGGGCUGAAACUCUCCUCUAACCCUGUUUGCCAAUGUGAAUACAGCUGUGAAGAGAUUUUUCUGGACAAACCCAGUAACUUACAUAGACUAUGCAGUCUGCCCAUGGAGGAGUUCAGUUGUGACAAAUGAAGUUUUACUCUGGGCUCAAACAACGCUUGGAUAGACAAGCUGACAUUUGUCAAUGUGUUGAUAGAUUAGCUGACAUUCACAUCGCAUACUUGGCACAAUUUAUUGUGUUUAAUGUGGGGGUGUCUAUGACUAAAUUGGUUUUGCACAAUAAAGCUGAAGUGCGUUGCAAGGCGAUAGUCUGAAAUCCUGUGUUUAAGCACUCUGGUCAGUGCUGUUAGUAACUCAUUUUCAAGAGCACUAAAAAGAUAAACACAAACCAGAGAUACCCUGUUAUACUGCUUUUGUUAGAGCCCCUAGGAAUACCCUAAAAGGUCAAGGAAUACCGACAUGGAUAUUUUAGUCCCAACUACAUUUCAGUCUAAGCAAGUCGUAAGUUCUUUGGCCAUUUUUAAGUUUUGAUGUUAAUGACUUGGAGUUUAAAACUAUUUAGUUUAAAAUUGAAGUAAAAAGGAUGUCUUUUUAAAAAAAAGUUGGGUUUUCCUUUCUUUUCCCCCCCCACCCCUUUUUAAGCAUUCCAAAAUGAUCUCCUGUUAAAAUACAUUGCAUUUUAUGAUUCCGUACUUCAGCAGCAACGUAAAAUAGCUGGUUUAGUUCUGAAUAAUAACUUCAUUGUUUUUCCUUCAGCUUAAUGUAUAAUACAGUAGCUUUGAACACUCAGGAAAUGCAGUAGUGUCCUAGAGCCACACUAUUUGCAAAACCACCGGAUGUUAAAACUUACCAGAUUUCUAAGGGGGAGGGGGGGCAGAGGGAAUUAGUGCAAUUUCCGCGAUAGCGACAUGGGUGUGCUAUUAUCAGACCAUUGGAAACUUACCACACUUAACCCCUGAGUUCGAAAUAAAUUUCAACAUUGAAAAUUUU
RNAcentral lists this long non-coding RNA (1439 nucleotides) under Strigops habroptila (Kakapo). RNAcentral's name for it is "lncRNA (ENSSHBG00005007396.1)". The record is from RNAcentral. Lineage: Eukaryota; Metazoa; Chordata; Aves; Psittaciformes; Psittacidae.